ACUCAUAGAGAUCCGCCUGCUUUUGCUUCUUGAGUGCUGGGAUUAAAGUUUUGUGCCAUCAUGCUUAGCUUUGAGUGCACUCUUUUUUUUUUUUUAAGGAAUCUUUUUCCGUCUCCAGCACAGAGAUUACUUUAACUGCAAAUACAAUGUUUACUCCCCUUUACAGAUGUGGAAACCCAGGUUGGAGAGCCUACCGACUUGCUGAAUUUGUACAGCUGGAGUUUGAACCCAGGCUAUCCCAAGUGGGGCACAUAGGCCACCGGAGGAGCCUAAAACAUGAAGGAACACCCUGUUGAAGGUGGCAUGAAGGAACUGGGCACUACCAGGACAAAAUAGAGCCUCAGCCUGGCACUGAAAUAAUUGACAUGAUAGAAAGGCACCUCAGGAGGUCCUUUCUACAGGCACCAGUGAUCGUCAGGAUGUAGGCCUGUCUUCAGCAACCUCCUGGCUGCAUCCUGUUGGGCUUAUGUCUGGGUGAAGAUGUGCAGAGGGUUGAACCCCCAGAGUGGAGGAGAGCCGCAGAGAGAACAGGAGAGGAAAGAUCAGUGCCUUGCACAACCAUCAUCAGAGAAGCUUCCUUUUGCAGUAGAUGGAAAUUAACCCAGAGACCCACAACUGGACAACGUGCAGAGAAUGAAAGGCUUUGGAGUCCUCAGUCCUAAAUGGGAUGUCUUCAUCCAACAUCUCCCCUUUUAAGGGUCAGGGAUCCAUGUGGAAGAGGAAGUGGGAAGAUUCUAAUAGCCGGAGGCGAUGGAUGAUAUCAAGGGAAACAGCAUCUUCCAGACACAACAGGACUGAUGCACAUAUGAACUCAGAGACUGUGGCAGCAUACACCUGUGAGACCCGCACAGGUCCAAGCCAGAUGGGUACCUGGCACUGAGACGGAGAAGUGGACACAGGGUGCGACCCUUAGCCAAGAACCUAUUUGCCAUUGAUACCUGGCUGGAAAAGGGGGAAAAAACUCCAGUUUUCCCCAAGGUAGUGUCACUGGGUAUA
This is a non-coding RNA of Peromyscus maniculatus bairdii (prairie deer mouse), 996 nucleotides long. NCBI's taxonomy places the organism in Eukaryota, Metazoa, Chordata, Mammalia, Rodentia, Cricetidae. The record is from RefSeq and is a predicted model, not a curated record.